RNAcentral lists this long non-coding RNA (644 nucleotides) under Equus caballus (horse). RNAcentral describes it as "lncRNA (ENSECAG00000049765.1)". Lineage: Eukaryota; Metazoa; Chordata; Mammalia; Perissodactyla; Equidae. The record is from RNAcentral.
GAGAGGGUGAUGGCGUGCCUGCCUACAAGACGGCUCCCAGAGGCAGCGGUGUGUGAGGGUCUCCCACUGCCUAGAGGGUGCCCCUGCUGAUCACAUUGCCCUGCUGCAAAUUUGACACGUGUGAGACACCCACACCAGCCAGCCUAAUUGGAACCAGCUUGAAGUGCGCUGCCCUUGAAUGCUUUGCAAAUUUCUGAUCCUCCAUGGACAUAGAACCUGGAGAAUGGGCCAAGGACAGGAGAAAUGAAGGACAGGUGAUUGCAGCCUCAUGUUAAGUGUAACCAUCUGCACAGUGAGCUCGGGGCAGGAGGCAUCGUGGAGACGGCGGCUGACUUAGCCUCUCGAGCUGACAAAGAUCGACUUCGGGAGAGGUGGUGAUGAAUCAUAAACGCUGCCCAGCAGGGGAGUCAGAAGAAUUGCAUUGUCCAAGGAGACCCAUAUGCCUGGAUCCAAUCGCAUUGAAAACAACGUUGAAAAGAUCAGGCUAGAAGAGUUUCCGUCUGACUUCAGGCAGCUUUUUAAUGGACAAGUCUACCAAGUGCGAGGCUGAUGGAGAGAAUUCCAAAAGGUCUUGCUCUAGGGCAGACAGAAUGCCACUGGGCAGAGAGUGCCAUUAAAAAGGUUCAGCAGCCACACGUGCCCAC